AUGGGUGGUAAAUUUCAUCUAAAGCUAAAUAUUGGCCAGAGACCGAUAGCGCACAAGUAGAGUGAUCGAAAGAUGAAAAGCACUUUGGAAAGAGAGUUAAACAGUACGUGAAAUUGUUGAAAGGGAAGCGCUUGCAAUCAGACUUGCAGGCAGUCGAUCAUCCGAGGUUCUCCCCGGUGCACUCGAUUGUCUUCAGGCCAGCAUCGGUUUUGGUGGUGGGAUAAAGGCUGCGGGAAUGUGGCUCUUCGGAGUGUUAUANNNCNCGGUGCAAUGCCGCCUACCGGGACCGAGGACCGCGCUUCGGCUAGGAUGCUGGCGUAAUGGUUGUAAGCGACC
RNAcentral lists this ribosomal RNA (336 nucleotides) under uncultured fungus. RNAcentral's name for it is "eukaryotic LSU rRNA". It matches the Rfam family "Eukaryotic large subunit ribosomal RNA", at positions 292 to 649 of the family's 3401-position model. Lineage: Eukaryota; Fungi. The record is from RNAcentral.